GAUGAAGAAUGCAGCGAAAUGCGAUAAGUAGUGUGAAUUGCAGAAUUCAGUGAAUCAUCGAAUCUUUGAACGCACAUUGCGCCCUUUGGUAUUCCAAAGGGCAUGCCUGUUCGAGCGUCAUUUGUACCCUCAAGCUUUGCUUGGUGUUGGGCGUCUUGUCUCCAGUUCGCUGGAGACUCGCCUUAAAGUAAUUGGCAGCCGGCCUACUGGUUUCGGAGCGCAGCACAAGUCGCGCUCUCUUCCAGCCAAGGUCAGCAUCCACAAAGCCUUUUUUCAACUUUUGACCUCGGAUCAGGUAGGGAUACCCGCUGAACUUAAGCAUAUCAAUAAGCGGAGGA
RNAcentral lists this unclassified non-coding RNA (338 nucleotides) under soil metagenome. Its description in RNAcentral is "partial contains 5.8S ribosomal RNA, internal transcribed spacer 2, and large subunit ribosomal RNA". The stretch from base 1 to 120 matches the Rfam family "5.8S ribosomal RNA", at positions 35 to 154 of the family's 154-position model. The record is from RNAcentral.